AGAAUCAACGCUGGCGGCGUGCCUAACACAUGCAAGUCGAACGAGAAAGUGGAGCAAUCCAUGAGUAAAGUGGCGCACGGGUGAGUAACACGUGACUAACCUGCCUUUUAGUGGGGGAUAACCUAGGGAAACCUGGGCUAAUACCGCAUAAUACCUACGGGUCAAAGCAGCAAUGCGCUGGAAGAGGGGGUCGCGGUCGAUUAGUUAGUUGGCAGGGUAAUGGCCUACCAAGACUGUGAUCGAUA
This 245-nucleotide ribosomal RNA is filed under the name uncultured bacterium. Its description in RNAcentral is "partial small subunit ribosomal RNA". It matches the Rfam family "Bacterial small subunit ribosomal RNA", at positions 26 to 285 of the family's 1533-position model. The record is from RNAcentral.